Molecule: ribosomal RNA, 254 nt
Filed under: uncultured bacterium
Lineage: Bacteria
Description: partial 16S ribosomal RNA
Rfam family: Bacterial small subunit ribosomal RNA
Source: RNAcentral
UACAGAGGUCUCAAGCGUUGUUCGGAUUCAUUGGGCGUAAAGGGUGUGUAGGUGGCGCCGUAAGUCGGGUGUGAAAUUUCGGAGCUUAACUCCGAAACUGCAUUCGAUACUGCGGUGCUUGAGGACUGGAGAGGAGACUGGAAUUCAUGGUGUAGCAGUGAAAUGCGUAGAGAUCAUGAGGAAGACCAGUGGCGAAGGCGGGUCUCUGGACAGUUCCUGACACUGAGACACGGAAGGCCAGGGGAGCAAACGGG